UUCUUGUUUGAAUGAUGACGAGGUUUUGAAUUUGGGAAUUGGGGGUGGAAGGCAAAUUGAUAUCUAAAAUUGAGCUUGAAGAAUGGCAGGGCAAUUCUCCUUCGGCAGAGACAAUGGAAGUAAUUUUCAUUGGUGGUAACGCCCGAUUUCUUGGCGCAUCAACCAGCAUAACAAUGCCACAGAUGCCAUUGUGAUAGAAAGGUUUACAAAGGAAGGACCAUACAUUUGGAAUCCAGGCUACCUUUUCAAGAUUAUUCACUGGGAGACGGAAUAAUUUCAUAAUCAUGAGAUUGUUUGUUGCCUCUUCAACAUACCCAAAGUAGACAAAUGCACCCAAAACCAAAUGCACACUCGAUGGUAUCAUAUCAGAAAGGUUGGGUAGCUUAAACAUUCCAAGCUUCAUGAUUCGUGUUUAAGAGUUCAUUUGGUUUUUUAGAUAUAAGGAUAAGAAUUAUUCACUGGUCUUAUCCUUAUGCUUUUACCUGAAUACGAUUCCACUCUUCUAGUAAGGCAUCUACUUUUAAGAUUAACUGCAGAGAGAGGUGAAAUUGUUUUUGUUAGUUUCAUAAUUACGAAUCCACGUCUCCGAACCACACAUUUUAACAACUUCUUCUCGCUUAUAUGGUAUAAAUUAUUGGCAAUCUCCUUUAGCCUACAUGUCUUGCUUCGAUCACUGAACUGUUGUGAAUGAAUCUCAUAUAGAAGCUUGGAGUGAUUUUAAGUUUGUAUUACACUAAAACGUAACCUUUACAUUUUCUGUUGGUCUUGGUCUCGAGUUUUUGUGGAAUUUGAAUAUUCUUCUUUCCUUUUGAGAAACAUUCCCUUUGUUACAAAAUUCUCAUCAUCAUGACAUUAGUGAUCUUGCCAUUGGUGCCAGGAUUUGAGAAGCAGGGACCUCAAAAACGUAUGUAAAAAUAAAAUAUUUUAAGCAUGGUUAGUCCAACUCAUUCUAAGUCAAUGCAUUAUAUUUAGCCUGUAAAUUUACUUUAUCAUUUGGCUUUAACUAAUUUCCAUUUAAGAUAUAAUUUUUAAGCUUCACAAUUUUCUAUUCAUGGUAUUGCCUUUCCUGGCAUUAGAUGAGAAUCAUGUAUGUUAAUGAAUUUCACAGGCCCCCAACCCCUGUAAGUUUUAGGUCCUUGUUAAACUGCAUAAUCUCCAGAGAGUAGAGAUUAGAUUUAUUGAAGUUUUCCAACAAUAUUUCCAAAGGCAUGAAACAGCCAAAGUUAUUAAUAGCAUCUGCAUGCCCUCCUUUGUGAAAUCCAACAUAUCUCUUGAGUACCUUUUCAAUUUAUAAAUUGAUAGGUUAAAGUCCCAGCAAAGGGAUAGAGAAUACGCUUUAGAAAGGGGCUUUUCUAGGAAAGUGAUUCAUGCUAGUCACUAAUAAAUCAUGUUAUAAAGAUAUUGGGAGGAAACUGUAAUAGAGUUUUCUUACUAUCUGUUUCAGAAAUACAUACAUUUAUGAUGGAAAUAUGUGUAUAUAUAUAUAUAUAUAUACUGAAGAAGUUCAUGAACUCAGCCAAUACUUGAUCCUUAACAUUUCUUUGCUCUGUCAUAAGCAAGGGAAAAAAUAAUUAGCUGCUGUAGAUAAUCCGAAAGAAUCUAUAUCAUUGAGUAUGCAACAGAUUAUGAUUAACAAUCAAUCAAGGAUAGUGAGAAUACUUUUAGUGCAUAAAAACCUGUACUUGGAGUCUUGGACAUACAAGAACUUAGUAAACUGGGCGAAGAAGAAGAUGGAUGUCAUAUAGAAGCUGAAGUAUUUGCAGCAUUGUGGGAUCGAAUGGCAGGGCAAUUCUCCUUUGGCAGAAGAAAGGAAAGAAUGCAAGCAUGCAUUAACGCAUACAUGUGCAUUGUCCGACUGCCAAAGGAGAAUCGCCCUGUUAUUACCUUCCCGACAUAAGUAACUAUCUCCCUCAAAUAAGGCUGUGCAUGUGAUGUUAGUAAGGAGUCACGCCCUAAAACCGCCAUGAAACCAAGCUUUAUAUAGGCACCCCCUCCUGUGUACUGUCAAUUGGAUAUGCUGGAGGAGGAGAUGGCAUAUGCUGUGGGACUAUUCUUCUAGGUUUUUCCUCCUUACUUUUUUACUGGGACCAUGGUACAAAGAGUUCUGACCUUCACUCCGAUCUUCCUCUUUAUUUGUUUAUUCUAUGGAUAUGCUCUUUUGCGUGCGAAGAAAUUGAAAUAUCAUUUGUUUGCCUUGUCCCGUCCUAAGGAAUGUGAUCCUUGAUUUGCUUCCACAGGAAUAGGUUUCAAGAUUCCUCUUUGCUUAUAUGUUUUUUUUUAUCCUUAGUAGCUGUGCUGACAAUACUGACUAAAUCAUCUUUCUUUGUAGGAGUUAGUUGCUUUCCACAAAGAAAUUUUAAGCACCAUCAAACUUUUGAGUGAGUUUCUUAGCCAUGGGAAGGACCUCUUUGUUAAUUAUCUGCAGAAUUCCCUACAUAAACCUCACAUUAUAAAUUUCUAGAUCUAUUGUUCUUCUCACUUCACUACUGCAUUAAAGUUCAAUAAUGUACUCGAAAACUUUCACUCUUUUGGUAUAAUGCUUGAGUCGAACCCUCACAUGCACGUAACUGAAUCCCACACUCGCACAUAUUCUUAAAUAAUGUGAAACAAACCGGAGAGUUUAUUCCUGUGAGUUAAGUGAAGUGUCUGUACAUUAGAAUAUGCUUCAAAUAUCCUUGCAGUAGCAAUAUGCAGCAUUUGUAGUUGGCUAUAAAUACAGCUAUGUUCUGAAAAUAAUUCAUCAUAGCCGGAGAUCAAAUUCGAUAUAUCCUAGUUGUAUGGAGGUAUAUUACCGGGCAAUUACUCCUUUGGCAGAAAGCCAUUGUAUUGUUGAUGUUGCAUGAAUGGUGUUCUUGAGCUCACUGCCAAAGGAGAUUUGCCCCGUAAUUCGACCAUACUGAUCGCUCUCGAUUCUCUGUUUUUUUUUAAAGGUGUUGCAUUGAUCAUCGAUCAGCUUCGUGGCAAGUUCAUGAGGUUUUAUACAUUUGGUUUAAUUUUGAGUAUCUAUUGUAAACUUGCAUUCCCAAUUAUUAUUAUUAUUUUUUUUUUAUAAAUCAAAACCUGUUCAAAUAAAUAUUUGUACAUUGGACUUGUCACGAAAAUUCACACUGUACCACUUUUAUUACGUGCCCGUGCAAACGUA
Long non-coding RNA from Andrographis paniculata, 3142 nucleotides. RefSeq lists it as uncharacterized. The record is from RefSeq and is a predicted model, not a curated record. Lineage: Eukaryota; Viridiplantae; Streptophyta; Magnoliopsida; Lamiales; Acanthaceae. The transcript has 4 exons.